UAGAGAAGAGUGGAGUUGGCUAUGCUGGUGAAAGGGAUAACCCUAAACUUGCUUUUUUUGAUGUUGAAGCUGACCCGCUUUAUAUGAAUUUCUUGGCUAACACUAAGCUAGAUGGAACAUCAUAUGUUUCUAAAGUUAAUGAUCAGAAUGGGUUGACAGUGUUCAUCAAGUAUGAGAGAGAUAGGGAGUUGGAGUUUCAUGGGGUUGAAAGGGGUCAGGAUAAUG
Molecule: unclassified non-coding RNA, 225 nt
Filed under: Hevea brasiliensis (rubber tree)
Lineage: Eukaryota; Viridiplantae; Streptophyta; Magnoliopsida; Malpighiales; Euphorbiaceae
Source: RNAcentral